RNAcentral lists this ribosomal RNA (505 nucleotides) under uncultured bacterium. Its description in RNAcentral is "partial 16S ribosomal RNA". It matches the Rfam family "Bacterial small subunit ribosomal RNA", at positions 28 to 507 of the family's 1533-position model. The record is from RNAcentral.
GACGAACGCUGGCGGCGUGCCUAAUACAUGCAAGUAGAACGCACAGUUUAUACCGUAGCUUGCUACACCAUAGACUGUGAGUUGCGAACGGGUGAGUAACGCGUAGGUAACCUGCCUGGUAGCGGGGGAUAACUAUUGUAAACGAUAGCUAAUACCGCAUCAUAUUGAUUAUUGCAUGAUAAUUAAUUGAAAGGUGCAAUUGCACCACUACCAGAUGGACCUGCGUUGUAUUAGCUAGUAGGUGAGGUAACGGCUCACCUAGGCGACGAUACAUAGCCGACCUGAGAGGGUGAUCGGCCACACUGGGACUGAGACACGGCCCAGACUCCUACGGGAGGCAGCAGUAGGGAAUCUUCGGCAAUGGACGAAAGUCUGACCGAGCAACGCCGCGUGAGUGAAGAAGGUUUUCGGAUCGUAAAGCUCUGUUGUAAGAGAAGAACGGGUGUGAGAGUGGAAAGUUCACACUGUGACGGUAGCUUACCAGAAAGGGACGGCUAACUACGUG